AACAUACCAUCAUCUGUGAUAUUUGCAGUGGAACAGCGGAGUCCUGGUCCACAUGGGCUGGUCGGACGGGGAGCAGCUGCUGUGUGUGCAGGAGAGCGGAGAUGUGCUCGUUUAUGACAUGUUUGGCGCCUACCAGAAGACAUUCAAUAUGGGGCAAGAAAUUAGGGACACUAAGGUCAGCAAAGCACAGCUGUUCUCAAAUAGGACUGGCUCUAACACCAACCGCUGAGCAACAUCUCCAAGCCCAAAGUCAGCCCGUACCAGAUCUGCCACAUGACGACACAGAGACUGUAAGGAACGUUUGUCUUAUGCUUCUGGCAUAUGUCAUAAACGUAUCGCCGGCUCGAAAACGGAAACGCGGGCUCUGAAGUUUUCUCGCGCGGAAAUAUGCGACGGAUUUUUCAAGCAAGUGUCAUCAGAAACACAUGUCAUUAGCUACAUAAUCGAGAAGAGAGAACAAUACAUGAAAUAGAAGUGGACUAUGCAGCCAUUUGUUAUUUUACUAUUUUUUGUUACUAUUCGUACACUCAGUAUUUUUUUGUAUUUGUCUAUUAUUCUUUUA
Long non-coding RNA from Cydia splendana, 562 nucleotides. RefSeq lists it as uncharacterized. The transcript has 3 exons. The record is from RefSeq and is a predicted model, not a curated record. Lineage: Eukaryota; Metazoa; Arthropoda; Insecta; Lepidoptera; Tortricidae.